GACGAACGCUGGCGGCGUGCCUAAUACAUGCAAGUAGAACGCACAGUUUAUACCGUAGCUUGCUACACCAUAGACUGUGAGUUGCGAACGGGUGAGUAACGCGUAGGUAACCUGCCUGGUAGCGGGGGAUAACUAUUGGAAACGAUAGCUAAUACCGCAUAAUAUUAAUUAUUGCAUGAUAAUUAAUUGAAGGGUGCAAUUGCACCACUACCAGAUGGACCUGCGUUGUAUUAGCUAGUAGGUGAGGUAACGGCUCACCUAGGCGACGAUACAUAGCCGACCUGAGAGGGUGAUCGGCCAAACUGGGACUGAGACACGGCCCAGACUCCUACGGGAGGCAGCAGUAGGGAAUCUUCGGCAAUGGACGAAAGUCUGACCGAGCAACGCCGCGUGAGUGAAGAAGGUUUUCGGAUCGUAAAGCUCUGUUGUAAGAGAAGAACGGGUGUGAGAGUGGAAAGUUCACACUGUGACGGUAUCUUACCAGAAAGGGACGGCUAACUACGUG
This 505-nucleotide ribosomal RNA is filed under the name uncultured bacterium. Its description in RNAcentral is "partial 16S ribosomal RNA". It matches the Rfam family "Bacterial small subunit ribosomal RNA", at positions 28 to 507 of the family's 1533-position model. The record is from RNAcentral.